UGGCCAUGUCUCCUCUGUUGGCUCUUGUGGUUGUGCAUGACGAGCCCAUGGGUCUCGAAGGACUCGAGGGUUGUAAUCGCAAUAAUGCAGGUGCGCUGCUUCUUCUGGUCCAGGGUCAGCUCCAUACCAAGUGCGUUCUUGGUGAGUGGUUAUCCUUUCAGAUGCCACUCGCUGUGGAGUUCUCUGGUUCACUGGUGUUGCUGCAAUCUCAAUCAAAAAGUUUUGCACAGCGUAGAGGCCAAGGUUCGGGUUAGGUAACCGAAUCUUGCCUUUAUCAUCAUAUAGC
Molecule: long non-coding RNA, 286 nt
Filed under: Sorghum bicolor (sorghum)
Lineage: Eukaryota; Viridiplantae; Streptophyta; Magnoliopsida; Poales; Poaceae
Description: long non-coding RNA (SBIC_LNC002527)
Source: RNAcentral